This 305-nucleotide ribosomal RNA is filed under the name uncultured bacterium. Its description in RNAcentral is "bacterial SSU rRNA". It matches the Rfam family "Bacterial small subunit ribosomal RNA", at positions 334 to 658 of the family's 1533-position model. The record is from RNAcentral.
UACCUACGCGGGGCAGCAGUGGGGGAUAUUGCACAAUGGGGGGAACCCUGAUGCAGCGACGCCGCGUGGGUGAAGAAGCGCCUCGGCGCGUAAAGCCCUGUCAGCAGGGAAGAAAAUGACGGUACCUGAAGAAGAAGCCCCGGCUAACUACGUGCCAGCAGCCGCGGUAAUACGUAGGGGGCAAGCGUUAUCCGGAUUUACUGGGUGUAAAGGGGGCGCAGACGGCGAUGCAAGCCAGGAGUGAAAGCCCGGGGCCCAACCCUGGGACUGCUCUGGAAACUGUAAAGCUGGAGUGCGGGAGGGGG